RNAcentral lists this microRNA precursor (121 nucleotides) under Marmota monax (woodchuck). Lineage: Eukaryota; Metazoa; Chordata; Mammalia; Rodentia; Sciuridae. The record is from RNAcentral.
UCUAAUAAAACUCAUCUUUCUCUCUCUCUCUCUCUCUCUCUCUCUCUCUCUCUCUCUCUCUCUCUCCUCUCGAGAGAGAGAGAGAGAGAGAGAGAGAGAGAGAGAGAGGUUUUUUUAAUAU